RNAcentral lists this ribosomal RNA (272 nucleotides) under uncultured bacterium. RNAcentral describes it as "partial 16S ribosomal RNA". It matches the Rfam family "Bacterial small subunit ribosomal RNA", at positions 9 to 263 of the family's 1533-position model. The record is from RNAcentral.
GAGUUUGAUCCUGGCUCAGGAUGAACGCUGGCGGCGUGCCUAACACAUGCAAGUCGAGCGAAGCGAUUUGGAGGAAGUUUUCGGAUGGAAUCCGGAUCGACUGAGCGGCGGACGGGUGAGUAACGCGUGGGUAACCUGCCUCAUACAGGGGGAUAACAGCUAGAAAUGGCUGCUAAUACCGCAUAAGCGCACGGUAUCGCAUGAUGCAGUGUGAAAAGCCGAGACGGUAUGAGAUCGGACCCGCGUCUGAUUAGCUAGUUGGUGGGUAACGG